Molecule: ribosomal RNA, 468 nt
Filed under: uncultured bacterium
Lineage: Bacteria
Description: partial 16S ribosomal RNA
Rfam family: Bacterial small subunit ribosomal RNA
Source: RNAcentral
GACGAACGCUGGCGGCGUGCUUAACACAUGCAAGUCGAACGGAAAGGCCCUGCUUUUGUGGGGUGCUCGAGUGGCGAACGGGUGAGUAACACGUGAGUAACCUGCCCUUGACUUUGGGAUAACUUCAGGAAACUGGGGCUAAUACCGGAUAGGAGCUCCUGCUGCAUGGUGGGGGUUGGAAAGUUUCGGCGGUUGGGGAUGGACUCGCGGCUUAUCAGCUUGUUGGUGGGGUAGUGGCUUACCAAGGCUUUGACGGGUAGCCGGCCUGAGAGGGUGACCGGCAAAAUGGGGACUGAGAUAGGGACCAGACUCCUACGGGAGGCAGCAGUGGGGAAUAUUGCACAAUGGGCGGAAGCCUGAUGCAGCAACGCCGCGUGCGGGAUGACGGCCUUCGGGUUGUAAACCGAUUUCGCCUGUGACGAAGCGUGAGUGACGGUAAUGGGUAAAGAAGCACCGGCUAACUACGUG